GUGGGGAAUAUUGGACAAUGGGCGCAAGCCUGAUCCAGCAAUGCCGCGUGUGUGAAGAAGGUCUUAGGAUUGUAAAGCACUUUCGACGGGGACGAUGAUGACGGUACCCGUAGAAGAAGCCCCGGCUAACUUCGUGCCAGCAGCCGCGGUAAUACGAAGGGGGCUAGCGUUGCUCGGAAUGACUGGGCGUAAAGGGCGCGUAGGCGGUGAUGACAGUCAGGCGUGAAAUUCCUGGGCUCAACCUGGGGGCUGCGCUUGAUACGUGAUUGCUAGAGUGUGGAAGAGGGUCGUGGAAUUCCCAGUGUAGAGGUGAAAUUCGUAGAUAUUGGGAAGAACACCGGUGGCGAAGGCGGCGACCUGGUCCAUUACUGACGCUGAGGCGCGAAAGCGUGGGGAGCAAACAGG
RNAcentral lists this ribosomal RNA (405 nucleotides) under uncultured Acidisphaera sp. Its description in RNAcentral is "bacterial SSU rRNA". It matches the Rfam family "Bacterial small subunit ribosomal RNA", at positions 354 to 776 of the family's 1533-position model. Lineage: Bacteria; Pseudomonadati; Pseudomonadota; Alphaproteobacteria; Acetobacterales; Acetobacteraceae. The record is from RNAcentral.